UGGGGGAUAUUGCGCAAUGGGGGCAACCCUGACGCAGCAACGCCGCGUGAAGGAUGAAGGUUUUCGGAUUGUAAACUUCUUUUAUUAAGGACGAAACUUGACGGUACUUAAUGAAUAAGCUCCGGCUAACUACGUGCCAGCAGCCGCGGUAAUACGUAGGGAGCAAGCGUUGUCCGGAUUUACUGGGUGUAAAGGGUGCGUAGGCGGCUUUGCAAGUCAGAUGUGAAAUCUAUGGGCUCAACCCAUAAACUGCAUUUGAAACUGUAGAGCUUGAGUGAAGUAGAGGCAGGCGGAAUUCCCCGUGUAGCGGUGAAAUGCGUAGAGAUGGGGAGGAACACCAGUGGCGAAGGCGGCCUGCUGGGCUUUAACUGACGCUGAGGCACGAAAGCGUGGGUAGCAAACAGGAUUAGAUACCCUGGUAGUCCACGCUGUAAACGAUGAUUACUAGGUGUGGGGGGUCUGACCCCUUCCGUGCCGGAGUUAACACAAUAAGUAAUCCACCUGGGGAGUACGGCCGCAAGGUUGAAACUCAAAGGAAUUGACGGGGGCCCGCACAAGCAGUGGAGUAUGUGGUUUAAUUCGAAGCAACGCGAAGAACCUUACCAGGUCUUGACAUCCAACUAACGAAGUAGAGAUACAUUAGGUGCCCUUCGGGGAAAGUUGAGACAGGUGGUGCAUGGUUGUCGUCAGCUCGUGUCGUGAGAUGUUGGGUUAAGUCCCGCAACGAGCGCAACCCUUGCUAUUAGUUGCUACGCAAGAGCACUCUAAUAGGACUGCCGUUGACAAAACGGAGGAAGGUGGGGACGACGUCAAAUCAUCAUGCCCCUUAUGACCUGGGCUACACACGUACUACAAUGGACGUUAACAGAGGGAAGCAAGACAGCGAUGUGGAGCAAACCCCUAAAAACAUUCUCAGUUCAGAUUGCAGGCUGCAACCCGCCUGCAUGAAGAUGGAAUUGCUAGUAAUCGCGGAUCAGCAUGCCGCGGUGAAUACGUUCCC
RNAcentral lists this ribosomal RNA (1000 nucleotides) under uncultured organism. Its description in RNAcentral is "bacterial SSU rRNA". It matches the Rfam family "Bacterial small subunit ribosomal RNA", at positions 355 to 1375 of the family's 1533-position model. The record is from RNAcentral.